Molecule: non-coding RNA, 73 nt
Organism: Phrynosoma platyrhinos (Desert horned lizard)
Lineage: Eukaryota; Metazoa; Chordata; Lepidosauria; Squamata; Phrynosomatidae
Source: the annotation of a GenBank genome assembly
GCCAGUGUGGUGCAGUGGUUUGAAUAUUGGAUUAGGACUCUGGGAGACUAGGGUUCAAAUCUCUGCUUGGCCA